ACCCCUGUGUUUAGUAAACGAUGAGAAAUGUUGGGCACUCUAAGCAGGGGCGUAGGAUAACGGGGAGGAAGGUGGGGAUGACGUCAAGUCAGCAUGGCCUAUAAGAAACAGGGCCACACACGUGCUACAAUGGGCGGUACAGAGGGAUGCAAUGCCGCAAGGCCGAGCUAAUCCCUAAAACCGUUAUCAGUUCAGAUCGGAGGCUUGCAACUCGCCUCCGUGAAGGCGGAAUCGCUAGUAAUCGCUUCCCCCUCAUUGCUCCGAGGUGAAUACGUUCUCGGGCCUUGUACACAUCCGC
This 298-nucleotide ribosomal RNA is filed under the name uncultured bacterium. RNAcentral's name for it is "partial 16S ribosomal RNA". It matches the Rfam family "Bacterial small subunit ribosomal RNA", at positions 1101 to 1394 of the family's 1533-position model. The record is from RNAcentral.